This 1355-nucleotide ribosomal RNA is filed under the name Escherichia coli. RNAcentral's name for it is "partial 23S ribosomal RNA". It matches the Rfam family "Bacterial large subunit ribosomal RNA", at positions 1585 to 2916 of the family's 2925-position model. The record is from RNAcentral. Lineage: Bacteria; Pseudomonadati; Pseudomonadota; Gammaproteobacteria; Enterobacterales; Enterobacteriaceae.
CUGAAGCAACAAAUGCCCUGCUUCCAGGAAAAGCCUCUAAGCAUCAGGUAACAUCAAAUCGUACCCCAAACCGACACAGGUGGUCAGGUAGAGAAUACCAAGGCGCUUGAGAGAACUCGGGUGAAGGAACUAGGCAAAAUGGUGCCGUAACUUCGGGAGAAGGCACGCUGAUAUGUAGGUGAAGUCCCUCGCGGAUGGAGCUGAAAUCAGUCGAAGAUACCAGCUGGCUGCAACUGUUUAUUAAAAACACAGCACUGUGCAAACACGAAAGUGGACGUAUACGGUGUGACGCCUGCCCGGUGCCGGAAGGUUAAUUGAUGGGGUUAGCGCAAGCGAAGCUCUUGAUCGAAGCCCCGGUAAACGGCGGCCGUAACUAUAACGGUCCUAAGGUAGCGAAAUUCCUUGUCGGGUAAGUUCCGACCUGCACGAAUGGCGUAAUGAUGGCCAGGCUGUCUCCACCCGAGACUCAGUGAAAUUGAACUCGCUGUGAAGAUGCAGUGUACCCGCGGCAAGACGGAAAGACCCCGUGAACCUUUACUAUAGCUUGACACUGAACAUUGAGCCUUGAUGUGUAGGAUAGGUGGGAGGCUUUGAAGUGUGGACGCCAGUCUGCAUGGAGCCGACCUUGAAAUACCACCCUUUAAUGUUUGAUGUUCUAACGUUGACCCGUAAUCCGGGUUGCGGACAGUGUCUGGUGGGUAGUUUGACUGGGGCGGUCUCCUCCUAAAGAGUAACGGAGGAGCACGAAGGUUGGCUAAUCCUGGUCGGACAUCAGGAGGUUAGUGCAAUGGCAUAAGCCAGCUUGACUGCGAGCGUGACGGCGCGAGCAGGUGCGAAAGCAGGUCAUAGUGAUCCGGUGGUUCUGAAUGGAAGGGCCAUCGCUCAACGGAUAAAAGGUACUCCGGGGAUAACAGGCUGAUACCGCCCAAGAGUUCAUAUCGACGGCGGUGUUUGGCACCUCGAUGUCGGCUCAUCACAUCCUGGGGCUGAAGUAGGUCCCAAGGGUAUGGCUGUUCGCCAUUUAAAGUGGUACGCGAGCUGGGUUUAGAACGUCGUGAGACAGUUCGGUCCCUAUCUGCCGUGGGCGCUGGAGAACUGAGGGGGGCUGCUCCUAGUACGAGAGGACCGGAGUGGACGCAUCACUGGUGUUCGGGUUGUCAUGCCAAUGGCACUGCCCGGUAGCUAAAUGCGGAAGAGAUAAGUGCUGAAAGCAUCUAAGCACGAAACUUGCCCCGAGAUGAGUUCUCCCUGACUCCUUGAGAGUCCUGAAGGAACGUUGAAGACGACGACGUUGAUAGGCCGGGUGUGUAAGCGCAGCGAUGCGUUGAGCUAACCGGUACUAAUGAACCGUGAGG